This 115-nucleotide ribosomal RNA is filed under the name uncultured bacterium. Its description in RNAcentral is "partial 16S ribosomal RNA". It matches the Rfam family "Bacterial small subunit ribosomal RNA", at positions 1360 to 1482 of the family's 1533-position model. The record is from RNAcentral.
CGGUGAAUACGUUCCCGGACCUUGUACACACCGUCCCGUCAAGCCAUGGGAGCCGGGUGUACCUAAAGACGAUAACCGCAAGGAGUCGUCCAAGGUAAAAUCGGUGACUGGGGCU